GAUGAACGCUGGCGGCGUGCUUAACACAUGCAAGUCGAACGAGAAGUGAAGACGGAAACCUUCGGGCGGAAGGCUUUAUUUCGAGUGGCGGACGGGUGAGUAACGCGUGGGUAACCUGCCUCAUACAGGGGGAUAACAGUUGGAAACGACUGUUAAUACCGCAUAAGACCACAGCACCGCAUGGUGCGGGGGUAAAAACUCCGGUGGUAUGAGAUGGACCCGCGUUCGAUUAGCCAGUUGGCGGGGUAACGGCCCACCAAAGCGACGAUCGAUAGCCGAUCUGAGAGGAUGACCGGCGACAUUGGGACUGAGACACGGCCCAAACUCCUACGGGAGGCAGCAGUGGGGAAUAUUGCACAAUGGGGGAAACCCUGAUGCAGCGACGCCGCGUGAGUGAAGAAGUAUUUCGGUAUGUAAAGCUCUAUCAGCAGGGAAGAAAAUGACGGUACCUGAGUAAGAAGCCCCGGCUAACUACGUG
RNAcentral lists this ribosomal RNA (478 nucleotides) under uncultured bacterium. Its description in RNAcentral is "partial 16S ribosomal RNA". It matches the Rfam family "Bacterial small subunit ribosomal RNA", at positions 28 to 507 of the family's 1533-position model. The record is from RNAcentral.